This is a non-coding RNA of Podarcis lilfordi (Lilford's wall lizard), 27661 nucleotides long. The record is from the annotation of a GenBank genome assembly. Lineage: Eukaryota; Metazoa; Chordata; Lepidosauria; Squamata; Lacertidae.
GCAAUGAAGGCUCAGGCAUAACAUAUUGCUUGAAAGUCUGAACAUUUCCCCUUUUUUUAUUUAACAAAAUUUAUAUACCACUUUAAUAAUUUAUAUACAAAUUAUUAGGAGAGUAAGUUAAAAAUAUACUGUAGUUUAUUCACUUAUAGGCUAGUUUACAUACUUUAUUCCUUCUUAUACUUCUAUCCCACCUUUCCUCCACAGAGCAUACACACUUCAGCCUCCACCUUCUCCAUUUUAUCCUGACAGCAAUAUUGUGAGCUAGGGCCAUAGCUCAGUGGUAGAACAACUGCUUAGCAUGCAGAAGGCAGCAGGUUCAGUCCCCAGCAUCUCCUGGUGGGACUGGGAGCGCUCCCUCUGCGCUUUGGAGGCUUCGCAUUGCUAUUGCUGAAGCCAUGGAGCCUGCAUUCGCUCCAUAGGACGCACACACAUUUCCCCUUAAUUUUGGAGGGGGGGGGAGUGUGUCCUAUAGAGCAAAAAAUACGGUAUGUUGUUGGGGUGGGGGCAGGACACCCACCUGUCCUGUUCCAGAACUGAGCUACCUGUGACGAGACUGGUCAGUUCACAGAAGCCUCACCUAUCGCUCAGUCGAGUUGCCAGUUGUGUCGCUAGAAUGCUUCGCGACAUCAUCCAACUGACCUCACAAAGCAUUUUAAUUUCAAAUAUUCUGAUUCUUUAUACUUUUACUUAAGUAUCUUCAUUUAUUUACUUGAUUUAGGGGAGGGGUUGCUGCCCCCACUGCCCCUCACUGGCUACAUCCAUGGAAAUGUUCUGAGGUGUUGUUGUUUGAUCUGGUUUUGUUGCAUUGUAGUACAAGAUUGCUGCUUCAGGCAGCACUAAUGUGACACCCUUAGGGAAGCAUUGCAGGACAACUUAUAAAGAGGAAUAAUGUGUGUGGACUGUCCAUCAAUGACAUAAUGCAGGAAACACCCACAGAAAACAUCUCCCAGUCUGGAGGACCCGAGAUUGUCUGGAGAAGUGAGGAAGAGGCAGCUAUAGUCUAAAGCUUUGCUUUUGGUUUUUGCAAGCUUUGUAGACUCACGCAGAUCAAAAAGCAGGCUUAAAAAAGCCUUAAGUAAAUGAAGAUGCUAACAAAUACUACCCAGAGUGAGACAGAUAUUCUUUCAAGCAUUCCCUAAUCUUUGCUGUUAUUUUGCUUCAAUUUUGGCACUGGGAUGGGCUCUACUCUGAGCCCCAUGUGACUGGCAAUUCUGAAAGGGCACUAGGGGAGCGGUUUCUGUAGAAACUGAUGUGUGAGGGUUAUCUAAAAAAAAUUUCUGAGCAUGUUUCUCUCCCAAUAAAUAAGUCUCUUCUUUUUCCAGCUGACUGCCUAGGGUGGUGAUAGCAGGGAAGGUGGAAAACAAAUGUGCAUUCAAAAGCCCUGAGCUGACGUUACAAAGUCUAUGAACAGGAAAUUUUAUAGCGAGGUAGGUAAGAAAACGUCUGAUUUUUGUUUUAUGGAAAAUACAUGGCUUGGUUGGAUAACUUGGUUGGAAAGACAGAGAAACAGAAAAACUGGGGCAUUUAAAAAGUUAUCAGUUAAGUGACAAGGAAGCAAUAAUAAUAAUAACAACUGAUAAUAUUUAUACCCCGCCCAUCUGGCUGGGUUUCCCCAGCCACUCUAGGUGGCUCCCAACAGAAUACUAAAAACUCGAUAAAGCAUCAAACAUUAAAAACUUCCCUAAACAGGGCCGCCUUCAGAUGUCUUCUAAAAGUUAGAUAGUUGUUUAUUACCUUGAUAUCUGAUGGGAGGGCAUUCCACAGGGCAGGUGCCACUACCCAGAAAGCCCUUUGCCUGGUUCCCUGUAACUUUGCUUCUUGCAGUGAGGGAACUGCCAGAAGGCUCUCGGCGCUGGACCUCAGCGUCCGGGCAGAACGAUGGUGGUGGAGACGCUCCUUCAGGUAUCCUGGACUGAGGCCGUUUAAGGCUUUAAAGGUCAGCACCAACACAAAAAUGCUCGGAAAUGUACUGGGAGCCAAUGUAGGGACCAAGGUGCAGUCAGUAAGGUACUGUAAUAAUAAUAGGGGUUGCUCGUGCGUAAGUUGCCGCCACUCCUGGCUAGGUUGCCUGGUUAAACCUUUUCUGUCUGGACAGCCCUUCACUUCGUGGCUGUUUCAGUUGCUAGCAGAAUCCUUCAGUGGGCUUUUCUUAAACCUUUUCCAGCAUAAAAGCUGUUUGACGCCAAGUCUCCUCCUACUCUCCCUGCGCGGAAGUCUUCUGCGCAGGGAGGGCGUGGGUAGCGGAGGACCCGUGCUCUCCCCGCUGGUCUCCGGCAAGGAGUCCUGGAGCCCCCUCGCCGAUUCCCCCAUCUGCCCCCCUUUAUCCCUGGUGUUACGCUGAUUUCCUUCCCCAGCUGAUGAGCUGCCUCUCUCCCUGCUGGGCCCUUCUCCAGCAUCACUUGGGAGCCUAGCCUCCGCCUCUGGCUCCGAUGUCAGUUCCCUGACAGGUACCAAGGGCCACAUUUGGCCCCUAGAAUGGAGGCUCCCCACCCAUGUCCUAGGUCAUUCCCACAACAUACAGUCAAAGCACAUUUAAAGCACAUUCUUCACACGGUCUCAAGAAUAAUCCUGGGAACUGCAGCCUACCCUUCACAGAGCUGUCAUCCCCAGCUCCCUUAACAGUUCCCAGGAAUCUUCAGGAGAAGCCAUGUGCUUUUAAUGCUUGGUGUGGAUGCGAUCCUAAGCUAAAAGAGAAAGGGAAGGUAGGAAUCUGGGCUGUGUUUUAGAGGUCAUACUGAAUUCAGUGUGUCUGGAUGGUGCAUGUGCACAUAAGUGCCAACCUGAAAAUGGGGGACUACAUAGGAGCUGAAACUGACAAGCCUUGGUGCAGGCAAAAUGGGCAGGAGUUCCAUGUCAUUUUGACUUCAGCUGUAGUGCAGGCUCAAGGCAGUGUCGGUGUGUUUGCGUGUGUGUCUGUGUGUGACACUGACAGGCAGCCUACUCACAUUUUUCUCUUGGACUAAAACGGUUUUGCAUGCAAGUUCCCUCUCUGAUGCCCAAUCUCUGGGUUGCAAAAUGGGGUGGCUCUGGAGGGAAUGGGAAGGUGCAUGGCUUUCUCAGCAUCAGUGAGGGCACAGAUACUGUCCAGCAAGUAACAGUUUUGAGGUAACAUCGGCAUUGAGAAAGGGCGAAUCAUUAAUGGUAUUAAGCCUGGGAGCAAGGAAGCCUUCCAGAUAUAGGGGCAGGAAAGCUGGAAAGACACAAACAGCUCUCCUGUAUUUUUAGCUGCUGUUGGUGUAGAGAACCCUCUUCAAAAUGACUUUCUUGGGGCCACAUUCCAAUGAUGGGGCUGCAGAGGCAAAAGUGGUUAGAACAACAGAGGCGACUCUUAAGUUUGCAACACAGAAGUUGGAGGUUUCUACACUCAUCCUCUGUCAUGUACACCUCUCUCCCUCCUCCAUCCAGGCAAGUGAGAGGCAUCAUCACUGCUCAAGAGUUGCUUCCAGGUGGUCCUUUUGCUGAGCAUCCAACCAACCUGAUUUGUUUGCACAAAAGUUUGCAGCCAGGUUAGACAACAUUGCAUCAAGCAAUCGUCAUCAUCCCACAUUUUCCAGUGCAUUUUCCUGCCACUUUUCCGAACAACCUGAAUUUGCUGGAAUGUGAUUGAAUCCCAGUCUGGAAACACCCAAGGACACAUCUGAAUCAGGCAAAAGCCUUGGGGAGAGUCCCAUGGGCUAGACAGGAAGGUCUUCAGCCCACAAACUGGGCUAUUAUUUGUGGAAAGCUGCCAUAUUGGGACCAGGAGCAUGACACACAUUAAAGGUAGGUAAUAUGUUCCCUUCUUCCAUCUCCGUGGAGCCCUGUCUAAUUUGCCUGCCAUUGAUGACCAACAUACAGUCAAACAGAGCAAAAACUAUUAGGAAAAUUGAAAGCUGCCUUAUACUAAGUCAGAUCAUUCAGCUAUCUAGCUCAGUAUUGUCCACACUGACUGACAAGGAGGGGAGAGUUUUCCCUGUGGGAAACGGAGAUACAGGACACAGUGUCUGUCUGCUGCCCAAUGUACUAAAGUAGUGCAACUGCUAAUGCAAAAUUCAGUAUUUAAAUUAACAGCCUUUCCUCUUUGGUCGCCAGGUGUGAUUUGGCUGUGUACUGAAAACUAUGUCGUCGUCCCCCACUCUUAUCCCCUUAUGUGCUGCCCAGAGUGGCUAGGAAAACCCAACCAGAUGGGCAGGGUAUUUUUUAUUAUUAGUAUUAGUAUUAUUCAGACUGGGAUCCCUUUCAUCCCUACCUGGAAAUGCUGGGGAAUGAACCAAGGACCUUCUAUCACUGAGCUAAGAUCCUUCCCUAAAAGAUGCCAGGAGAGGUCAUUUCCUCUCCUUGAACUAUGACUAGGCUCAACCAGGCUGCAAACAUGGAGUAGCUGAGCACACUCAGGGCCAAAAAAGAUUUUGUGCCUGCUCCUUUCACUUUAAAUGAGCAUCGCAGACCCUUUGGUUUCAUUUGGCAUUCUGUGGGAGAGGAAAGGCAGGCAGCCUAGCUAAUUACAUAAGAGGUCGGGUUUUGAUUGGAGGUUUUAUUUUUAGGCAAAUGUAAUUGGCGGUAUGUGAGUUGGGGGGAAUAAUCAGAAAACUUGUUGGAUUGCCUGUGUGUGUGUGUGUAUGUGUGUAGGAGCUGGUUGUGGAUUUGUGAAAGGGGAGACAUACAUGCAUAUUUAUCAAACUCCCUUCCCUGGAAUAUUUCCAAAAAUAAUCAAGUUAUAUUAUCGGCACAUUGGGAAUAAAGCAUGCUAGCCUCCUGUGUGCAUGGAUUUUUAUUGGGGGGUUUUUUUGUGUGUGUUGUUUUUGUGAGUUGCCACAUGCUGCCUGAAGUCAUGAAACAGCCUUACCAUUGUUGGAAGGGCAACAGUAGGGAUCAUUCAAUUUGCAGUUUAAGGGUUAGUUCUGUUGGUGUUAAAGUCAACUAGCCCAGAGGGGGAUGGGUGGAGGUGUUGCUUAGCAACCAGGUAGACACCAGACAUGGUGUUUACUGAAGUAGCACAUGCUCUGAUUGGCUGUGAAGUUCUCAGGGAGUUUUUCUUCUGUACGUUUUGUUUAGGGUUGCCAUAUUUCAAAAAAGCCUCCCCGAAGUUGUUGAGCCUCCCCACAAAAUAUAGUGAUUUUAAGCUUUUGGAGCUGCUUAAAGUGCUUUUUCAAUCGCGUUGCCAUACAUCCAGGUUUUCUCUGAUAUUUUGCCAUUUCAGCAAAAAAAACAGAACAUACCAGGAAUUUUCCUGACAUAUGGCAAGCCUAGUUUUGUUGAAUGAGUUCCCGCUCUCAUGAGUGCUCAUCCCAUUGCAUGAGGCAAAAUGGAAAGUUGCUGCCUUGCCCCAUUGUGGCUGCAGCCUUUUGCCGAAGCCUCGCUUACUGGGGUUGUUCAGUGACUUCCAGCGAGAUCUCAUAGAACUCUCAUGAGAUCUCACUGGAAAAAGCCACCUUCACUGUGUGACCCUAGCAGCAGGGGCAGGGGCAAGUGGGGCAACCGCAGUGGCAGCAUCCCCCUGGAUUCUGCCACCCAAGGCAGCUGCUUCAGUCUGCCUCUGCCUGCUCUGUACAAGGCCUGAACUCAGAUGAUGCACUGUUUUUGUUUGGUUUCUGCAGUAAAACAUUAUGCCAUCAGGACUCCAUCUGCAUUGUUCAAGUGCAUUUGCUAACAAUCGUCACAUUUGGUGUGUAUGGGACUUGGUAUACAAGUGGGGUGGAAAACUUGUGUCUCUCCAGGUGUUUCUGGACUACAACUGCCAUCAUCCAUAGCCACUGGCCACACUGAGGCUGAUGGGAGCUGGAGUCCAAUAACUUCCCCAUCCCCCUUCUACACUCAUGGCAAAAUUAGGCCACAGCAUCCUUCCAGAUGUAUAGUGUACAUUUUUUUAAUGCUUUCCCGUGUAUAGAAGCUCAUGGAAAGCAGAAACAAAGCAAAAACAGGUGCAUAGAGAAGAAAAAGUUUUCCCUUUGCCGUUCCACUUUUCUUCAUUCAGAGAGUUGCUAGGGCAUCAUCCAGAGAUAUAAUCUCCCACCUAGGCCACAACAGACGUGAUGUGGGAAGCCUGUGAUUUGGUCUGCUGAUGGCUUCUUCUUUGCUUACCAAGGGUUGUGUGACAGGUUGGGAAAAACUGAAUCGCAGGGCUAUGACCGUCGGAUAUGAACCCCCCAUUCUGCACUAUCAUUUCCCUGACUGAAAUUAAUAAUCUUUUCACCAGGUUGAUUUUAGCACUGAGGGUUGUGGGGAGAGAAAGGUAUUUGUAGCUAAUAGCUCUCUCUCUCUCUCUCUCUCUCUCUCUCUCUCUCUCUCUCUGUGUGUGUGUGUGUGUGUGAGAGAGAGAGAGAGAGAGAGAGAAAUAUACAGUAUAUUGUUUAUGUGGGUGUGUGACAGACUCUGUGUGUGUGUGUGUGUGUGUGUGUGAGAGAGAGAGAGAGAGAGAGAGAGAGAUAUUUUGUGCUUGUGUGUGAGAAAUAUAUGUGCCUGUGAGAGGGUGUGUGAGGGGGGUAUAUUUGUGUUGCAAGAGAAAGAGAUUUGUAACAGAGUGUGUUUAUGUGUGAGAGAAGGAGAGUGUUCUGGAGAUAUAUAAUGUUUGUUUAUUAUAUACAGUGGUGCCCCGCAAGACGAAUGCCUCGCAAGACGGAAAAACCGCUAGACGAAAGGGUUUUCCGUUUUGAAGUUGCUUCGCAGGACGAAUUCCCCUAUGGGCUUGCUUCGCAAGACGAAAAUAUCUUGCGAGUCUUGAGAUUUUUUUCCGCUUCCCCCUUUAUCUAAUCUGCUAAGCCUUUAAUAGCCUUUAAUAGCCUUUUAGCAGCUAAUCCCUAAGCCUUUAAGGCUUUAAUAGCCGCUAAACCGCUAAUAGCGCUAAUAGCGCUAAUCCGUCAAUGGGCUUGCUUCGCAAGACGAAAAAACCGCUAGACGAAGACUCUCGCGGAACGGAUUAAUUUCGUCUUGCGAGGCACCACUGUACAUAUAAAUAUAUAGAUAGAUUUAGGGGGUCCCCCUUAAACCCUUGUUGUUGUUUAGUCAUUUAGUCGUGUCCGACUCUUCGUGACCCCAUGGACCAGAGCAUGCCAGGCACUUCUGUCCUCCACUGCUUCCCGCAGUUUGGACAGACUCAUGCUGGUAGCUUCGAGAAUACCAUCCAACCAUCUCAUCCUCUGUCGCCCCCUUCUCCUUGUGCCCUCCAUCUUUCCCAACAUCAGGGUCUUUUCCAGGGAGUCUUCUCUUCUCAUGAGGUGACCAAAGUGCUGGAGCUCGACUUCACGAUCUGUCCUUCCAGUGAGCACUUAGGGCUGAUUUCCUUAAGAAUGGAUAGGUUUGAUCUUCUUGCAGUCCAUGGGACUCUCAAGAGUCUCCUCCAGCACCAUAAUUCAAAAGCAUCAAUUCUUCGGCGAUCAGCCUUCUUUAUGGUCCAUCUCUCACUUCCAUACAUCACUACUGGGAAAACCAUAGCUUUUACUAUACGGACCUUUGUUGGCAAGGUGAUGUCUCUGCUUUUUAGGAUGCUGUCUAGGUUUGUCAUUGCUUUUCUCCCAAGAAGCAGGCGUCUUUUAAUUUUGUGACUGCUGUCACCAUCUUCAGUGAUCAUGGAGCCCAAGAAAGUAAAAUCUCUUACUGCCUCCAUUUUCCCCCCUUCUAUUUGCCAGGAGGUAAUGGGACCAGUGGCCAUGAUCUUCGUUUUUUUGAUGUUGAGCUUCAGACCAUAUUUUGCGCUCUCCUCUUUCACCCUCAAUAAAAGGUUCUUUAAUUCCUCCUCACUUUCUGCCAUCAAGGUUGUAUCAUCUGCAUAUCUGAGGUUGUUGAUAUUUCUUCCGGCUAUCUUAAUUCCGGCUUCGGAUUCAUCCAGCCCAGCCUUUUGCAUGAUGAAUUCUGCAUAUAAGUUAAAUAAGCAGGGAGACAAUAUACAGCCUGGUCGUACUCCUUUCCCAAUUUUUAACCAAUCAGUUGUUCCAUAUCCAGUUCUAACUGUAGCUUCUUGUCCCACAUAGAGAUUUCUCAGGAGACAGAUGAGGUGAUCAGGCACUCCCAUUUCUUUAAGAACUUGCCAUAGUUUGCUGUGGUCGACACAGUCAAAGGCUUUUGCAUAGUCAAUGAAGCAGAAGUAGAUGUCUUUCUGGAACUCUCUAGCUUUCUCCAUAAUCCAGCGCAUGUUUGCAAUUUGGUCUCUGGUUCCUCUGCCUCUUCUAAAUCCAGCUUGCACUUCUGGGAGUUCUGGGUCCACAUACUGCUUGAGCCUUCCUUGUAGAAUUUUAAGCAUAACCUUGCUAGCAUGUGAAAUGAGUGCAAUUGUGCGGUAGUUGGAGCAUUCUUUGGCACUGCCCUUCUUUGGGAUUGGGAUGUAGACUGAUCUCCUCCAAUCCUCUGGCCGCUGCUGAGUUUUCCAAACUUGCUGGCAUAUUGAGUGUAGCACCUUAACAGCAUCAUCUUUUAAAAUUUUAAAUAGUUCAGCUGGAAUACCAUCACUUCCACUGGCCUUGUUAUUUGCAGUGCUUUCUAAGGCCCAUUUGACUUCACUCUCCAGGAUGUCUGGCUCAAGGUCAGCAACCACACUACCUGGGGUGUACGAGACAUCCAUGUCUUUCUGGUAUAGUUCCUCUGUGUAUUCUUGCCACCUCUUCUUGAUGUCUUCUGCUUCUGUUAGGUCCUUACCACUUUUGUCCUUUAUUACGGUAAUCUUUGUACGAAAUGUUCCUUUCAUAUCUCCGAUUUUCUUGAACAGAUCUCUGGUUCUUCCCAUUCUGCUGUUUUCCUCUAUUUCUUUGCAUUGCUCGUUUAAGAAGGCUUUCUUGUCUCUCCUUGCUAUUUUUUGGAAAUCUGCAUUCAAUUUCCUGUAUCUUUCACUAUCUCCCUCGCAUUUUGCUUGCCUUCUUUCCCCCGCUAUUUGUAAGGCCUUGUUGGACAGCCACUUUGCUUUCUUGCAUUUCCUUUUCAUUGGGAGGUUUUCGUUGCUGCCUCCUCUAUAGUGUUACGAGACUCCAUCCAUAGUUCAGGCACUCUGUCCACCAAAUCUAAAUCCUUAAACCUGUUCCUCACUUCCACUGUGUAUUCAUAAGGGAUUUGACUUAGAUUGUAUCUUACCGGCCCAGUGGUUUUUCCUACUUUCUUCAGUUUAAGCUUGAAUUUUGCUAUAAGAAGCUGAUGAUCUGAGCCACAGUCAGCUCCAGGUCUUGUUUUUGCUGACUGUAUAGAGCUUCUCCAUCUUUGGCUGCAGAGAAUAUAAUCAAUCUGAUUUCGAUGUUGCCCAUCUGGUGAUGUCCAUGUGUAGAGUCGUCUCUUGUGUUGUUGGGAAAGCGUGUUUGUGAUGACCAGCUUGUUCUCUUGACAGAACUCUAUUAGCCUUUGCCCUGCUUCGUUUUGAUCUCCAAGGCCAAACUUGCCAGUUGUUCCUUUUAUCUCUUGAUUCCCUACUUUAGCAUUCCAAUCCCCUAUAAUGAGAAGAACAUCCUUCUUUGGUGUCACUUCUAUAAGGUCUUGUAAGUCUUCAUAGAAUUGGUCAAUUUCAGUUUCUUCAGCACCAGUAGUUGGUGCAUAAACUUGGAUUACUGUGAUGUUAAAAGGUCUGCCUUGGAUUCGUAUCGAGAUCAUUCUAUCAUUUUUGAGAUUGCAUCCCAGUACAGCUUUUGCCACUCUUUUGUUAACUAUGAGGGCCACUCCAUUUCUUUUACAGGUUUCUUGCCCACAGUAGUAGAUAUGAUAGUCAUCCGAACUGAAUUCUCCCAUUCCCGUCCAUUUUAGUUCACUGAUGCCCAGGAUGUCAAUAUUUAUUCUUGCCAUCUCAUUUUUGACCACAUCCAACUUACCCAGGUUCAUGGUUCUUACAUUCCAGGUUCCUAUGCAAUAUUUUUCUUUACAGCAUUGGACUUUCCUUUCGCUUCCAGGCAUAUCCACAACUGAGCGUCCUUUCGGCUUUGGCCCAGCCGCUUCAUCAGCUCUAAUUAAUAAAUUAAUAAAUCUAGGAUUUUGGUUAUUUGUGAUGUGAUAUGAAGGGAGAAUGCAAGCUGCAAAGGAAUUCCUUAUGCAAAACAACCUGGCUGAGCUAUGACUAUCAAAAGAACAAUUGAGGGACUUUAACAAUACAAGAGAACUCUUUCCCCCUUGCCCCAGGAUUUGGAAGGUUGCCAGAGUAACUGCUGGAGGGGAGCAGUGUUGCUGGGAUGAAGGGAGGAAGAUGAGCUCAGAUCCAUCCUGGGCAGGCUGGCUGAAGGCUGCCAGCACUGCUGUGGGGUACCAGCCCCUCUUGAAAGGACUAUGAUGUAAGAUCCGGUACAUUCUAUUGUCUCAGGAGGACUGUACCACUUUAUUCAGACCCUACAAGUAUCCCUAUUAUCUAAGGAUGUCCCUGAUUUAGAGAAGACAUCUCAAUUUCUGAUUUGAUCCCAGAAUGUCCUGCUUUUCCUUAGGAUGUCCCUAUUUUCAUUGGAGAAAUGUUGGAGGGUAUGAAGUUAUCCUACCCUCAAGCCGUCUGAAGGCAAUCCUGUAUAGGGAAGGGUUUUUUUAAUGCUAAAUGUUUAAUUAUGUUUUUAUAUAUGUUGGAAGCCACCCAGAAUGACUGGGGCAACCCAGAAAGAUGUGUCGGGUAUAAAUAGUAAAAUUAACAUUAUGGAAUGGGAUGUCUCUAUUUUCAUCAGAGAAAUGUUGGCAGGUAUGUUUCAUUCUGGUGCAUGUGCAGACUGAGCCUUAGAAUUGAACCUUCAGGGAGAGCAGGUGUUCAAAAAAGACUACUCUAAAUGGCAAUCAGUGAAGCAAAACAGGGGUUUGAGUAGAAGGCAAUGCAGUGAGGUUUCCUGGGGCAUUCCAUUUCCCAACAACAGCACAUGGAGAGGCAGGGCCUGACCCCAGAUGCUCCAAUGGCCCCCAUUUUCUGCUACUUGUUCCCAGAAAACCACUCUCCCUUGGUGGGUUGGUGAAAGGGCUGCCAUAUGUCCUGAUUUUCCAAGACAUGUCAUGGAAUUCACCUCCGAAAAUGGCAUCCUGGGUUAUUUUUCAGAAAUUGGGCAGAUGUCCUGGAAAACCAGCAAUGGGGGCUCCAUAACUCAAAAAUAGGCAGUGGUGCUUUUAAAAAGCAAUGCCAAUAUGAGAGGACUGGGUUUAUAUCUUUAUUGGUCAGUGGACACAUUUAGAAUUUUAAGAAAGCACUGUGGGUACCAGUCACAAAAUGGCUGCCAUGAGGUCAUUGCAUAACAUAGCAUGGCUGCUUUGGGGGCAUGGCAUACAGCACAAAAUGGCUGCCACAUUUAAAAGAACAAAGAAAGAGCCAGGACCAGAAAAUGGCACAGGCAUGCUCCUCACAUCGGCUCCCGCCAAUGCAAAUCUGCAAAUGUGUUUCUGGAGGUCUUGCUCUGUCUCUUGCACACGUUUUUCAUUUACUCUGCUUGUCGUCCACAAUUUAAAAGUCAACGAGUUGUUCUUUUGGUUUGAAGGUGUAUAUUUGGCGAAAUGCUGCCACAGCUCAAAAUGGAAAACAGAUGCUGAUGUUUGUGAAAUAGGCUGUGUAUUGCAUGGUGCCUCUUGCAUUCCUGCACUUGUAUGUACAUUGUUAAAUAGUGGGUAGACAUAGCAGACGACGCAGCGAUUUCUCCAAAGCAGCUUUUUAUUUGUAAGCUGGAACAGAACUGAACAGCAGACAGCUCAGCCGGCCUGCUUUUAUAGGCAGCCAGCUGUCAGCAUUGUAGCAACAACAAGCCAGGGUUUCCCGCCUAAAGUAACUGAUGUGGACCUGAGUGAAAACUACAUACACAAUACUCCUGGUGGCCAGGGUGAGAACUUCAAUACAUAACAUACCUCAUGGUUAGAAAUCCCCCCUCUCCCCCAAAAAAGAGCUCAUGUAUCAUCACUGCUGGUGUACAUCAGCAGUUAGGAACUGUUCCCUGCUCCCUGCAAGGGCUUCAUUUCCUUUGGAGAAAGUGGUGAGGGCUGCAUACCAGUGGUAGACAGGACCUUACCCAAAGUGGACAUGACCAAAACACAUACACACAGUCCCCCCACCCCCAAAAUCCACAGUGCCUGACAGACUGCUUUUCCUGUUCUGUUCUGUUUGGCUUGGCCCUGCCCCUCCUCAAUUAAACAUGCUCUCUUAAACAUCAUGGAGGUGUCAGAUCGAGACUUUUUGGAAGACAAUAGGGGUGUUAGAGGCUAGGAAGAGCAUUUCUAGGUGAUUAAAAAACAACAACCUCAGGGAACAUGCCCGUGGAACAAAUUUGUCUGGACAAAUUAAGAUGCAGAGACAUGCUGUGGUCCCAUACACACCCAUCUACCCCGUAAGCAAAGUUGUUAACAAAAUUAAAAAGUUUAAAACAAGGGGGGAAGGUGCAGAAGAUCUGCUGCCCAAUGCAAAAUGCCUUCGGCCUUGUGGGACACAACUAAAUCUCAUGGUGCCACAUGUAACUGAAUAUAACAUGGUUCUGAUGAAAUCCUGCUCCUGUUUUAUUUUUUAAUUCUACUAUAUUAUUUUUGCUCACUUUAACAAAUACAAUACAAAAAAUACAAUUGGGACAAUGGGACAACCAUGCAACGUCUGCUUGUUUACAAUUAGGGAGGAACAAAUUACCAAUUCUGGAUUUUCUCCGUUUCUCUUUUUCCCAAUACUAAGUUCCAUUCCCCACAUUCCCAUGUCAGUCUGCGAAUCCUCAGAAAAACCCAACAGCCUUGUGCAAAUUUCCUAACCUUCCCUCUGAUAUAAUGCAUUUUAACUCUACUAGUAUGUGAAUUUAUGUGCACGUUGCUGGGCUGGAGAACUGCAGUGCAAAAUUCAAAGAAGUGGAACAUUUGGAAGAUGGCUGUGUUUCAGUUCACAUUUUGUUUUGGGAAGUGUGAGAGUGUAGGAAAAAUAGUUUUGCUUUUAAAUGUGAACUGAAUCAUUUUUUUCCCUCCAUCCCCUACUUACAAGUCAUGGAAAACAGGAAGCUUAAUACUGAGUCAAACCAUUUGUCCAUCUCGUUCAAUAUUGUCUACAAUGACAGGGGUCUCCCCCAGCCUUACUUGGGGAUGGGCAGACUGAACCCAGAAUCUUAUGAAUGUAUGAUUGAUGUAAUACCUGCAAUCAUUGGCAGAAAGAGAGUUGGAUAUUUGGCAGUGAAACAGUGAGGAGGUGUACAACAAAGAAGCAUAAAGCAAAAUAUUUCUUGCUGACUCUGUGUGUGCUAAGAAUCUGUGCCCUUUUUCUAAGAAGUGAUCAGAAUAUUUGACAUCCUAUUUAGCUGCAGGGAAAUCUUAUCCAUUAUUAGGUUAUUCCAAUCCUUUACAAACUACCCUCUUAUUGGGAGGAAACAAGCAAUUUAGAAUAGAGCUUCUUCUGAUGGCUCUCCUUGUUUCUAUACACUUUUAAUUUUUGACGAGCUUCCUUGGUUAGACUUUGCUUAUUCCCCAUCUGAGUUACCAACCACCCCAAAUCCUAGAUGGCUCAGAACAUUUAUUUUUUUUAAAAAAAAAAGUUGCAAGAAGCAGUGCUGAUCCCUUAAUGGGGUAUUUUGAGACAAUCGAGGGAACAUAAUGAGCAAAACGAAAGAGGAGAAACAAACCCCUUUCGGCAAUGCAGCAGACCUCAGCCCACGCACUUCUCACAGACUGAGAGCAAGGGGGGGGGGAGAGAAUCUGGCUUGUUUUGCUAGCAUCAUAGUUUUAUUGCGAUCAUACAUUAAGCUCCUUUUUAUAAAUAGAGGUGAUAAAGGCCGGUGGGGAGGAGGGAUGUAAGUUUCUCACAACUUCACUGUGUUCAUACUGGAAAAGACCAGUGUCAAUUUUGCCUUUGAGCAUAUUAAUCUCCAUCCCCCCUUACUUGCACACAUGUACGUACUAACAAACACACUUAUUAGCAUAUUAUUCUCAGUUCUCCCUUACACACCCACACCCCAUGCCAUACAUUUAUGUGUUGUGAAUAAACAGGGUGGAAUCAGUACUCAGGUUUGGGGCGUGGAAGGGAAGAAAGUUUUAUGAAAUAGAUAUGCCCAAUACCUAUGACUUGAGGGGGGAGACUGUGACUUAAAGGGGUGCAGGAAAAGUGGGUGCCAUUCAGCCUGCCAACACCCCUUAAGAUACCUUCACGCUCCUAGGCACCUUAGAUAAUGCUGCCUCAUCACCAGUACUGAAGUAAGUCAUCCUCCAGUCUGGUCAAUUUUUAUACAGGAAUUUAGGAAGCUGCCUGUCAGAGGAUUGAUCUAGGACACCAAAAACAUCAUUUUUCCAUGACAAAGUGCUGCUAAAUUCCCCCAGAUGUCAAUUCUGCCUUUGAAAAUCCAGAUGUAUGGCAGCCCUAAUUGAUCCAUCUUGCUCAGUAUUGUCUAACUGGCAGGAGCUCUUUGGACAGAGGUCCCUCCCAGUCUUAUCUCAAGAUGCUGGGGACUGAACCUGGGACCUUCUGCGUACAAAGCAGAUGUCCUGCCACUGAGUUAUGGUUCUUUUAUCUGCUAAUAAAUUUGCGACUUCAUUACCUCUUUAUUUAUUUCUAGUGUUGACUCAGUGCUUCACCAGUUCAGUUGUUUGCCUCUGACCUAAUCAACGUUGAUCAGAGGAACACAGGAAACUGCCUCGUACUGAUUCAGAUCACUGGCCCAUCUCUGCAUCAAGUUGCAGUGGCUUUGCAAGCUUUCAGGCAAGAGUUUCUCCCUAGAGAUGCCAGGAAAUGAACCUGGGACUUUCUGCAUGCAAGGCAGAUGCCCCGCUGCUGAGCUAUAGCCCCUAUUUGGAAAUGUGGAGCUACCAUCUUACCCACUUCAGAAAGCAUGGUAUCUUAGCCUAAAGAUAUAGGGCAGCCCUCUCUGUUCCUGCCCUAUAAUUGCUAUGGCUGCUAUGGAGAAACAAGAGCAUUGCCAAGUUACUCAUGAGGUCAAUGCCUCAGGUUUGUGGCCAAUUAAUGAUGUGGUGGGCAGUUAUAUCUGGGCCCCAGAGUAUAUCAGCCAAGUAUGUUGUUUGUAAUAAGGCUCAGUCCUGUGAAGCAAGAAGUCAAUGACAUUCAGCGUGCACCAAGAAGCACUUUAGACCCCAACACUUUGUAUUGCAGAUGGGUGAAAAUACAUGUUUAAAUGGCAUCAGCUCACGGUUCCCAUCCUGCACAGAGAAGAGGUCCUGUCAAGGAGAAGGGCUGUAGCCUAACUCUCUCCCUGAAAUACUAAUCUUAUGUGUGCAGGGAGCUUUCAACAAAUUUUAGACCAUACAUUUACAACACUAUGAUACCACUUUAAACAGUUGUGGCUUCCUCAAAAGAAUUCCAGACACUCCAAGUGGUCCUAUUUUCCAGGGACAGUUCUGAAUAUACAGAAGCUGCCCCAGUUUCUGGUUUGAUCCAGGAACGCCCCACUUUUCCUUAGGACAGGGGUCAGCAAACUUUUUCAGCAGGGGGCCAGUCCACUGUCUCUCAGACUUUGUGGGGGGCCGAACUAUAUUUUUUUUUGGGGGGGGAACUAAUUCCUAUGCCCCACAAAUAACCCAGAGAUGCAUUUUAAAUAAAAGCACACAUUCUACUCGUGUAAAAACACCAGGCAGGCCCCACAAAUAACCCAGAGAAGCAUUUCAAAUAAAAGGACACAUUCUACUCAUGUAAAAACACCAGGCAGGCCCCAUAAAUAACCCAGAGAUGCAUUUUAAAUAAAAGGACACAUUCACUUCCAGCUGUUUAGGAUUUAAAAUUAUGGAUAGAUUAAGAUUAAGGAUUAGGAUUAAAAAAGUUUAAGGAAAUGGAAAUUUGGUUUUUAAAAGGUAAAAUUUUAAUGUUAUAUUAUAUUAAGAGUAAGAUUGGGAUUAAAAAAAGAGGAAAGAAAUUGCUGGACAAACAAUUUGAACUGGAAUACAAAAGAGGAGGUACGAGGAGGUCCAGAAAAUAAGUAAAUUUAAAAAUGGAGACGAAAAGGUGAUAUUGUUUUUAAUUGUUUUACUUUCUUUUUUGUCUUUUGUUUUCUUGUUUCUUUAUUUUUUCUUUCUUUUAGAUUAUGUAUUCUACAUUUUGAAUUGUGUAUUUCUUUUUUAUGUUUUAUGUUUAAUCUUUUAUUGAAACUUUAAUAAAUAUCAUUUUAAAAAAAAGAAAAAAGGACACAUUCUACUCAUGUAAAAACACGCUGAUUCCCGGACCGUCCACAGGCCAGAUUGAGAAGGUGAUUGGGCCGGAUCCAGCCCCCGGGCCUUAGUUUGCCUACCCAUGCCUUAGGACGUCCCUAUUUUCACUGAAGAAAUGUUGGAGAGUAUGGAGAUACUCCUGAGCCAAGUAGAUAAGGAAGUAUACAACCUUUAGAAGACUAAACCUGAAGGCAGCCCUGUAUAGGGAAGUUUUUAUAUUACAUUAUAUUUUAAUAUAUGUUAGAGGCCACCCAGAGUGGUUGGGGCAGCCCAAUCACAUGGGUGGGGUAUAAAUAAUAAAAUCAUCAUCAUCAUCAUUAUGGAAUAGGACGCCCCUAUUUUCAUCGGAACUGCAUUUUGUUAAGGGUGCCAAGAGUUCUUAAGAAACUCCCUAGCCCCCUCCCAGAGCAACAAUUUCCAGAGUUCCCUGUGAAAAGAGGUUGAUUGUUAAACCGCUCUGAGAAUUGUUGCUCUAAAAGGGAAAUAAGGACCUCCUAACAACUCUCAGCACCCUUAACAUACUAAACCUCCUAGAAUUCUUUGGGAGUAGCCAUGACUGUUUGAAGUGGUAUUAUAGUGCUUUAACUGGUAAGAAUGUGGGGGUUUACCUAAGACAGGGAUGCCAUACGUCCGAAAUUUUCUGGACAUUGCUGGGAUUUGGCUGUCGGAAACAGUGUGCAGGUGGGAACGGCAACUUCCAGAUGCAUGGCAACCCAUGUUGGAAGUGUAGAUUUUGGCGAAUUUCCUUAAAAAUAGCUCAAAAACUUUGCCAACCAUUUUUUUUUCUGUCCGGAUUUUCACUUUUUGACAUACGGCAACCGUACCUUCGCUUCAGCGGAGCAUCACGUUACAAAACCUUGGCAUUUCCAUAUGAUUACUAAAUGCAAACAGUCGCCAUAAUUGGAAGUGGGUGAGUGGAGGAAAUGUCCAGACACCGAUUCUGUGUGCCAGUGUUUCACUUGAUCAAGAUAUAUUUACUUUUAGGAAUGCAAAGUGCCCAGUAAUUGGUAUUGUACAUAUUGCCCCCCUCCCCCGCCCAGUCUUAAAAUUAAUGGAUCAAUAAAUUAACAAGUACUAUGUUGGCCCGGCUUGAAUAUCCUGGUGCCAAAGAGUCUUUGCACUUGGCAUCGCUCACAUCCUGUAAUUAAACCAAGCCCACUGGUGAACCUGAGCUGCUUGGGAAGGAGCCACUGCAUAAUAGAACAUGGGAGCAAAGUUGUCGCAUUUAAGAGAGAUCAGUAAUCCAUUAUGGGCCACAGCCAAGCUGGUGAUGCAUUGCUGAAAGCGCCCUUUCAAUAUUGCAUGAAGGGAGUCGGCCAAGCAAACCAUAUUAAAAGCUGGUUUCCUGCUCUUUUGGUAAGGCAGGCGCUCAGUCAGCACUCGCCUCCCCAGCCAGGAUCUUGCAUGCCACAAUCAAUAGGGCUGUUCCAAGUUCCAGACAACUCGCCACAGAACUAUGCUCCAGGUUCUCUCAAGCCUGGAGCUAUGGGGAUGCUGCAGUCCACAGAAGCAGCUUAUCUAGUUCAGUAUUGCCUGCACUGACUGGCAGCAUCUUUCCAGGGGCUCAAACUGGGGACAUUCCCAGCACUACUACAUGUGAAGCAAAUGUUCUGCCACUGAGAAAUGAACCAUCAGUUGGAACUCACAAACUCAUGGAAGGAAGCACACCCUUGCCUGGUCUCAGUUCCAAAACUUUGGACUGAGUCGGUCAACUUUGCAGGUUUUUGUUUGGUCUACCACAUUAAGUUAGCCUGGAUAGCUCAGUUGGUUAGAGCAUAGUGCUGAUAAUGCCAAGGUUGCAGGUUCAAUCCCCAUAUGGGACAGCUGCCCAGUCCUGCAUUGCAGGGGGUGGACUAGAUACCUCAAGGUAUCUCUUUCUUCCAACUCUCCAAUUCUAGAAUUCCAGUCACUAGCUAUGAGUUGGAUUCAUACUGUAUCUUUGGAGAUCACACAGGCAGGAUCAGACCUAAUGGUAACCAUAACUUGUAGUGAGUCAGACCAUCAUAAAGGAGUAAAUUUCAAAGAGUAGCUGUGUUUCAGUCCACAGAUUGUUUCAGAAAGUGCAAAUUAGGUAAAAUUGCCUUUAACCUCGUCUCAAUUAUUGUAAUGCACUCAGUGUGGGCCUACAGUUGGUCCUGGCCCAGAGAUGCCAAGGAUAGGAGCCAAUUCCCUGGGACUGAGGUCCCUUGCGCACCCCCCAAUAAAGUAUCUGAGGGGGCUGCCCCCCCACCCAGUUGAUGGGCAUUGCCAUUCAAAUUGUGUUUUUGUGCUGUGUCACAUGAUCGAGUAUACAGGGCAGGACUUAUUUGGGGGCCCGAAUAUUUUAUUCACGUUGGCAGCCCUUACACCAAGCAUUGCCACCCUACCUGUAUAACCAAGCAAUUCUAAAAUAUAGAUGCGCUUUUACUUUUUCAAGAUUGAAUGUAUUGCCCUGGGCUGUACUUGAGGGAUGGUUCCAACAGAUUCCACACAAAAAACGCUUAUGUCCCUGUGGAGGUGGCAGUAAUGAAUCGGUGGCACAUGCCCUUCUGGCUUGCAUGCUUUAUAAAGACUUGAGGUAUAAGAUUAUCACCCUUCUUUCAUUGUCCAUUCCAGGUCGCCCAGCCACUGCCACAGUGUCCUUUCUCUUGGGAGAUCAAGAUGAGAAGGUGACAGCAAAGGUUGCAAGGUAUUUUUAUAUAAAAUAAGAUAAAAUAAAAUGCAUUUUUAUUGGGUUUCUUUGUUAUAGCAAAUUGCAAAUACAAUUAUCCAAAUUUUAUAUUUUACAAUCCCCACCCUCCCAUUGACUUCCUUCAUCUUCCCUUUCUGGUUUAUUUCAUUACUUGUUAUCUUCUGCAAGUUAAAUAACUAUACAUGUUGUUACACUAUCUUUCAUCAUAUUCUGCUUAAAGUUGUGAAACCUGCCAAUGAGUCCAUCUCUUUUUGUUGUUUCUAUAGGUAAGUUGUGAAAGGUUCUCAAUCUUUUUUAAAAUCACUAUUGUCCUUUUCAUGUACAUUGUCUGUUAACUUUGCUAAUUCUGCAUAUUUCAUCAAUUUUUCUUGCCAUUGUUCUUUCGUUGGUACUUCUCCUGUCUUCCAGCCUUGUGCUAACAAAACGCUUGCCGCUGUUGUAGCAUACAUAAAUAUUUUUCUUUUUUCUUUUCGCCGUUCUUGACCUGAAAUACCCAGCAAAAAGGCUUCUGGCUUUUUUACAAAUGCCAUUUUAAACAUUUUUUUCAGUUCAUUAUAUAUCAUUUCCCAAAAAUUCUUUACAACUCUACAUUCCCACCACAUAUGGUAAAAAGUGCCUUCCUUCUCUUUGCAUUUCCAACAAUUUUUUGAUCCUGUUUUAUACAUUUUUGCCAUUUUUACCAGUGUAAUAUACCAUCUAUACAUCAUUUUCAUGUAGUUCUCUUUCAACAAUAUGCAAUCCGUGAAUUUCAGAUUCACUUUCCAUAAUUUUUCCCAAUCUUCAAAUUGUAUAUUAUGCCCCAAAUCUUGUGUCCAUUUAAUAAUUGCCAGCACAUAACUCUACAAAGCUUGAACUAGUUGCUCAUAUACUAGCUGGUUAGGUUCAAGGUUCCUGUAUUAAUUUACAAGGACCACCUGAUGCUUUUUAUAUCCCUGUUCAAUUUCCUAGGUUUUCAGCGGAGUCACUGUUAAUGGUCCCCAUAGCUUGGAUGCACAGCUUAGAUCCAAAAGAGUCUUGUGUUCAGUAUUAUGGUCCAAUUUUGUUUAAUUUGCCUCCAGUUGGAGUCAGACAGGUCCUCUCCUUGUUGAACUUCUCGCACUUCCUGAAGGCCUAUUUUUAUUAUUAUUUAUCCCAGCAGGUUUUUAAAAUCAACUCUAAUUUCACAGUUUUCACUCAUCUUUUGCCCUCUACAUCUGGUCUCCUGUGCACUGCUUAGAGAUGACUGUGAUUAUGCGGUAUGUAAAUUGCUGAAAUAAAACUAAAAAGUGAAAUAAAUGUGAACUGAGUUGAAUAUCUUCCCUCAUCCUUGCCUGCAAAUCAUGGUAACUCGUGGCUUUGUUGCUGCUGAAGCAAUUCAUUAUGGGUCAAUGCAGCAGUGCUCUUGAGCAACCCCCAUUCAUUUCAAUGGGGCUUGAGCAGGAAAACUUUCCAUUGCAUAGUUUUUAUCAGCAAGAGGAGCCACCUAUGCCUAACACAAUAGAUGUUGGAGUGGCAAUGGGGAGGGGGGCGAUAAUUGCUUUUUCUCUUUUUAGUCCAGACAAGAAUCCUUGUUAACUCUUCACUCACCCCACCUUUUGACAGUCCCUUAAUAAGAAGCCUGUUUGGGAGGACAGCAAAGAAGCCUUGGCUUAAAAUUGGCUACAGAAGCUGGCAGCUCUUCUUAGUAGGUGUCAAAAGCGUAUGUCCAAUUAUAACACUACAUCCAUCGCAGAUGGGAAGAGAAGCAGAUGGCUAUCAGGGGACUCAGAUGCCAUUUUGAGAGGAGGAAGGAGGAGGAAAGAAAACUGCAUUUGUUUGCCCUCUGUAGAAAUUAAAUAUUGGUCUGUUUGAUUAGAGACGGAUGCAGGGAUAUAACUGGCCAAUGAGACAGAAACAGUCUGGGGUAGCCUGGCUCACUUUCUACAACUGGGAACCUAUGGGAAUGGGGGGGGGGAGGACAUACGAAGCUGCCAUAUACAGAGUCAGACCAUUGGUCUAUGUUAGGGCUGCCAUACGUCUGGAUUUCCCUAGAUGUUACCAGACAUCCGGGGAAACUUUUCGAAAGGCAGAUCUUAGGCAAAUCAAUCGAGAAACCUCUCUCUCUCUCUCUUUGCGUUUUUGUGAAAGCUCAACAACUUUCGGGUUUGUGUGGGGGCCUCUUUCAGCCAUAUCUGGAGACGCCGCUGGAGAUUAGACUUUCUGCAUGCAAAGCAAAUGUUCUACCACUGAGCUACAGGGACACUGUUCAGUCUUUUCAAAGCUUUCCUCUGCAAUCAAGAGGGCUAGAAACUUGACGGGGGGGGGGGAGCAACCACCCUUAGUGGGCGUUACUGUAUAUUCCAACCUCUCCUCUGACUCAGCUGCUAAACUGCAUGUGUGCAAAGUAAAGUCACAGAAGCACAAAAAGUACAUUGACACACAUCCUGUCAGUAUGAUUAUUUAUUAGAUUUUUGUCAUAGGAUAUGGUUUUUUUAAAGCAUGGGAUCCUAACAGGAUCAUUUACUUAACUGCCACCAAUAGUAACAGUGUCAAACUGAAAUGUCAAUUCAUUCCACCUUGAGCUGAAACCCACUUGGUUCAAAAGUAGUCAUACUGCAAGAAACAUCUAAUAGGUAGUCUUGUCCAGAGCAUUUUAGCAAUUGCCUCAUUACAUGUGUGCCCUAAUAAGAAAUAUGUUUCCCAUCUUGCCUUCUGUACAUCUGAGAAAUUGGCAUAGCCGAUCAAGCAGAAGCCAUUGUGCUCAAUGUCAGAGUUAUCUGGGUCUUUAAUGAGUCUCUGGGGGGGUCUGCAAUGGAUUUUGCUGCCAAUUUAAUGUUCAGCUGCUCACUGCAAGGGAGGGGGGUGGAGAAAAAGAACGGGAAAUGGAUUUGGUGCUGCAAAUUGUAUCCACAACAUGCUAUCCAAAAACCUCUAUCUGGUCCAGCAUCUUCAGGCAUUGCUGGUGUGGGGUCUCCACGAUAGCAUCAGGUAUGCAAGUUUCAUGGACCAGUUGCCCUAAAAGGAAGUGUUUCAUGAACCAUCUUGCUGAAAGAAGAGAUGCCUUGUUCAGAUCUUGGCAAUCUGUUAUGCAGAAAAAUAGAAAACUUCUUUAUGCUUGGUUUGAUUAUUUGUCCAUUGAGCUCAGUAUUGUCUGUUCUGGCUAAAAGUGACUUUCUGGCAUCUAAGAUGGGGAUCUUUCCCAUCACCUGCUGUCUAAUUCUCUUAUCCACUGCAUGCAAUGCAUGUACCUAAAGGUUGAGCAACGGGUUAACUCAUUCAGCUGUGUUCCUAGCAAUAGUAUAAAAUCAUAGACUUGGAAGAAAUUCUGAGGACCAUCUAGUCCAAACCUCUGCAAUGCAGAAAUAUGUAUAGUUGGCUAAUUUCCCAAAGCAAACUUAAAGAACAACGCCCCCCCCCCAAAAAAACCCCACCCACCUAAAUGCUGGUGGCUGAAAUCUAGCAAAGCACUUUCAGGGGUGAGAAGGGGGAAAUUAAAUGAAAUUCUUUUGCUUCUUCUUAUCUUUAGGUUCAGGAGAAAAGAACAGGAGAAGAGAACCCGUCACUAGAGGGACAGUAAGCACGGGUAGGGAAGCACAAUCUUGUCUCUUUCAGUUUUGCCCAGUUUCUCAUUAUUCCAGUCUUAAAUUCCAUUCAUCCAUUUCUGAAUUACUUUGCCCUAAAUAUAUUUGGUAGCAAAGUGCUAAGUCAAAUACUCUACGAUGUUGAAAUCUGGAGCUCUGUCCUGAACUCCAUUAAAGUUUUGGAAACAAUGCAGAAUAACUUUUUUGGGAAGCUAUACUCUCUAUCAUCAAGAAUAUCAGCAGCUCUUCUUCAUACUUAAUCUGAGUAGCCAACAAUUAAGGCAAUAGCAGACUGCACUCAGUUAAAGUAUAUUAAAAGAAUUGCUACUAUGCCCAUUGAGUGUUUUCCUGCACUGUGCUAUAUGGAAUUGAGUGAUACCAGAGUUGGUUGUUUUAGACUAUUACUAAUUUCCAGAACUGAGCUCUGCUUGGGCCUUGAAUAAAUGUCAGCUAAGGGAUUGCCUCUUCUGGAUAGAACUCAGAAGGGACCUACAGCUAAAUACAAACACAGCUUUUCCCCCUUGGUAUGCACUCUCAAGAACAGGGCAUUUUACAGCUAGUUAUCUGACCAAACUUUCACCAGUUUCCUCGGGCUGCAUUUCCAAGUGAUGCUCACUGCAGUCUUGGAUGGCUGUACACAGACAAACUUUGUAUCUGUGGACAACCUCAGGUACAAAACGUUACUCAUUAUCUGUUAGGCUGCCCCUUGUGUAGAGACCCAAGAGUUCACUUUACACAUGCAAGCAGAUACACCCCAGCAUAAAUUGUUUGGUUUCUUUCGAGAGGCACUAAUAGCUUUGUAAUACAGAGAGUGGCCUUCUGUACACUGGCUGCAUAAAAUAAAAUCAGGAAAAAGGAGUUGGAUAAAAUCACUAUAAGUUGUUUUGGUGAUUCGGAGGUUUAAUCUGAAAUCAAGCUAUGUAUGUUCUGUAUUAUUUUAUUAAUAAUAUUGCUACAGUUUUGUAUGGUCUUUGGAUGGAACACUAAACGUAUGAACUGAACAGAAAAUGUGUAUUCAUUUCCACGUGUAUUCCUCCUAAUAGGCACAUUUUUGUGUGCAAUGUUGCCUAAGACAGACAUUCCUCACGAAGCAAUUUCCUCUAGUGCCAUUUUGCCCAUUGUUUCCACUAAACCUGUGUGUUUCAGUAUACACUAACCUUCCAAUGCUUUCUUCUUGGUAUGCUUAAAAAAAGAAAGAUAUGUAUCAGAAAAUUCAGAAGAGUGAAUUCCAAAGGAUAGCUGAAUUUUAUGUGACAUUUCAGUUCAAGACAUGAAAACGGGGCAAGUUAACUUGAAAACUGGAACCAAAUUAAUUUCUCCUCUUUCUGUAGUAUAUGGAAAGAUUGAAUCAUUGUUAACCUCAGGGAAGGGGCACAGCUGGAAUUGCCAACUCAAGUGCAUGCUUUGCAUUGCAAAAGGUCCUUCAAUUUAAAAGGAACUCAAGUGGCAGAACUGGAAGAGAGCGUUCUGUCUGAGGCUCUGAAAAGGUACAGCCAGCCAAGAGUAGAAAAGGCUGGGAUGAGUGCACCAGCGAUAUGACAUAGUAUGUAGAAGCUUCGUGUGUUCCUAUUUAGCUUGCCCUCCUUUGAUCAGAAUUCAUUUCCAUGUUGACAUUUAAAAUGUAUCGACUUUCUUCCAAAUCAGACGAGGAACAGAAUGUUGAAUAUGGUACAUCACGACAUUGCAAAGUUUCAAAAGAUCUAAUGUCAUUUAAAAUGGUAAUUAAAAUAUUGCGUCCCACCUUUUGAACCAAAAAGUCUCCCCACAAAGCAACUAACUGUGAGCUCAAAUACUGCUAAGCCAGAGAUGUGGAUCUUGUGGCCCUCCAGCUGUUACUGGACUUCAACUCCCAUUAUCCAUGACCAUUGGACCAUGCUGACUGGGGCUGAGGGGUGUUGGAAUCCAAGAACUGCUGGAGGGCCACAGGUUCUCUGCCCCUGCUGUGCAAGAAUAAAAUAAUGGACGAAACAUUUCCUUAGGCUCUAGAAUGAACAGACAUAACCUCUGCAGAGAAGUCCCACCCCCCAAUGACAGGAAAGAAUGCUAACUGGUGAAAGUCUCUCUUAUCUAGAGGGCUGUAGAUAAGAAGCAUCAAGGCAUUGCCAGUUCCAUGGGACAAGGGUUGUGAAUGGUUGCUUGGGGUUAUCAUAAAUAUAAGCAGCAUAAUCUCUUCUGGCUGUUACUAUUUUCAUUCAGGAAGAGCUUUCGGGUAUCAAAACGUUAACCUGCUGCGAAUUAAAAUGACCUUUUGCCGCUUCAAUCAAAGCCCACUGAAAUUGACAGAAUUGUUUCCAUGGCGUGUCCCAUGCAGGUACUGUUGUGGUGGGGGGGGGGGGCUUAUGUUUUCCACCUAUUCCAUUUUGGCCUGUGCCCCACUUUUUUAAAAAGAAAGAAAAAUGUAAAUGGAUUAGCAGAGCCUCCUUCUUUCACCACCAAGCAACCACAGUUUGCCCUACUAAGAAUUUAGGAGAAGGGUUUCAUUCCAAGGCUUAUAAUACUCAGGCUGGACUAAAUUUUUGAGCCACUGGAAGCUCUACCUUAAUCUCAAGUACGGGGGGUUUGGAUUCUGCAUUGAAACUGUCUCCUCUUUUUUUGCAUCUUGGUCAUGAGGAGCAAGUCAGCUGGUUGAUGCCAUUCACACAUACCCUUUAUGCUCUCAUUCUGUGAAGCAUCCUAUGAAACUCCUCGCAAUCAAUCCUACAAUUCUCAGAGUUGCUUAACUGGCAAUCCUUCUUUGCAAGGAACUCUGGAAGUUAAAGCUCUGUGAGAUGUAUAGGGGUCCUCUCAACAACCCUCAGCACCCUUAACAAACUACAGUCCCCAGUGUGAAGUCCUAAAAUCCAGGUAUAACUAGGAUUCUUUGAGUUGAAACCAUGACUCUUUAAAAGCGGGACCAUGGUGCUCUCUCCCGGGAUUCUCCUCAUCUAAACACAAAUGCAGCUUCUUCUCUUGUUACCCAGAAACAAGUCUCAUCUCCUUGUGGCUGAGCCAACUUUAGACUCCACCUCUCGCCUCAUGGCGCCUCUGUUUUCUGUCUCUGCCAUGACUCUCCUCGUGGCUCCUGCCCCCUCACCAAUCUGUCUUCACAUAGUUGCUCUGUGGUCCCUCAUGGCUUGUGCUAUAAAUGUGCUAUAAAUGUAUGGGGUGUACACAGCCUGGAACAGCUUCCUCAGCUUUAGACUUCAGAUCCCAUGUCAGUGUUGGGGAGUGGGGAGGAUGGGGAACUGUGCUGGCAACUCAGUAGGACUUUGGGAUCACCAUGGGCACCAUAUAUUGAUGGGUACAAGUCAGGGUCCUAUAUUCCUUGAAGAAGGGCAGACGCUUAAUAUUAAACCAUGCCAGCUGAAAGGAUUUCAGAAAGGUUAGAGAAGUGUCAGGAAGGAUGGUGUUGUAAAUAGGUGGGUGGGAGGGAGGGGAGUUGAAGAAAGAGCCUAUCCCCCUCCCCACAACUCUUUCUUGAGUUUCAGAGCAGAGGUGCGAAUAAAACUCAAGUCUCUGUGGCUCAUUGUAGCUCACAUGCUGAGCCUCUACAUAGCACCUUGUCUCUUUCUUCUAAAAGCUGACAGCAAUUAUUCCUGAGGGAAUAAUUGCCAGCAGGCACAGUUCACCUAAGUGGUCUUUUUAACCUCUGGGGGUCCUUACAAGUUUAUUGGUGAUGUUGGGUUCCGAGUGACAAAAUCAAUUGUUGUUUUAUUUUUAUUUUUUUCUGUCAGCUAUCGAGGUGAGGCAGGCACAGGAGCCCCAAGAAAACAAAGUGUUGGCAACUCAAGUGGAUAGGAGGGAAUAGACCUAGAUUUCCCUCCUGGGUCUUCAGCUGUUCCCCUGAGCUGCCUCCUCAGGCUGGGGUUGCUCCUUAAAAACAUUUGUAGUCCACCCUUCGUGUGCACUAGGGAGGGUUGCUCCAGAGAACUGGGAUGCUAGAUCUCCCAUGGCAAAUGCAGGGACAGGGAGGGCUACCACCCAACAAUAUCAUCAGGGACUUUCACUGGCAUCUGCCUGGCAGUUUCAUUCCUGAGUUCAGCCUGCCAACUUCCACUGGCUUCCACCUUUGAAUAGCCACUGGGCUGGUUCAUCCUUCUACCCUGUACCUGGAGCUGGCUCCUGUCACAUAAUUCCCAGGAAUGUCACAUCUGGUGGGCUACCUAUGCCAGUCCAAUGCAUCCAGACACAUACCAUUCGCCUCAACAGCAUUCAAAACCUCCCAUUCACACAUGGAGACACAUUCACUCAUCAGCCGCUCUCCAUUCACACACGUAUAUGCCCCCAGCUUCAGUCCACAAAUAUCCACACAGUUUCUGUCAACGGGCUUCCAAAGCUGAGUUUGAACCUGCUUACAUCCCAAACAACAGUCUGUUUCAGGAAUUGCAGUGUCCACCAUUAUCCAAAUGUGAAUGCUACUGGCUUCUAUUUCCCAACAUUUGCCAGCUUCCACCAGGUCCAUCGCCAGACAUCAGCCAGCCUCCAGCCAUGGAGACCUUCAAGGCACAAACCCACUCAUCAUGCCACAGCCUCCCACUGCCAGAUGAUCUCCUCCUUGGCCAGUGAAGUACUUAGCCUCGGGAGACUCCUGGAAGGCCACCCUCAGCCCUCAGACUAGAGGUUCCCCAUCUUGGUCAUAAAUAAAUGGUUUUUAAAAUUGGCAUUUCCACCAUUAGUCAUUCUCAGAGUAGACCCAUGGAGUCAAUAGACCAAGCGUGAGGAGGAGGAGGAGGUAGGUGGCAGGAAGUGCCACCUGCCUGGGCUGGCUGCAGAAAGGCAGGCAGGUGAGGGACUGGCCAAGGGGAGACUGGGGUUGAUGGGGGUGUUAAGGUCAGCAGAGGUGGGGGCCUCUUAGUAGUUCCAUCACCCUCAGAAGUGCAGUGGCCCAGGAGAGGCCCUCCUCCUCCUGAGUUGUGGAAUUCCCUCUCCGCAGAGGUGCAUCAGGUACCCUCGCUAUAUAACUUAUGACAAAUGUUGAAGACGUGUCUCUUUACCCUGAUAUUUGAAAUCUGAGGUGUGUGUUUUCUGGGCCGUCCCAAUUCCUGUGACUAAUUUGUUUUAAAUGUUUUUAAUACUGAAUUUUAGACUGCUGCAAUCCACCCUGUGAUCUGCUGGUGAAAGCAGGUACAGAACAACAAGACUUGCUGCUCUCCCACAUGACUGCCUUCGGACCUGCCUCCCACUGGCAUGUGACCCCCCCAGAAGAUAUUGUGGCCCUUGGGCUGAGGAAAGCUCCUCCCCUUCUUGUUUUCAGUGAGGUUUAUAGGUGGGAUGUGUUGUUCAUUAUAGGUCAUCCUGGUUCAAAUGGAGACACCCAGAUUUAUCUAUAUAAAAUGCAUUUCAAGACCUGCACAAGAGAAACUCCUUUUCAUACAAAAGCAAUUCCUUGUUCUUGACACAUCUUGGCUCCUCCAGCAUGUGGGGGAAGUCAAGCGUGCAUCAAACUGAAGUUGGGCAGUUCUAAGGGAGA